CUGCUUACCUGGCAGGGGAGACACCAUGAUCAGGUAGGUGGUUUUCCCAGGGCGAGGCUCACCCCCUGCAGUCUGGGUGUGCUGACCCCUGCAAUUUCACCAAAUGCUGGAAACACAACUGCAGAAUCUGUGGUAGUGGGGGAAUUUUUUUUUUUUUUUUUUUUUGUGGAGGCCCCAU
This 178-nucleotide small nuclear RNA is filed under the name Pelecanus crispus (Dalmatian pelican). RNAcentral describes it as "U1 spliceosomal RNA". It matches the Rfam family "U1 spliceosomal RNA". From Rfam's summary of the family: U1 is a small nuclear RNA (snRNA) component of the spliceosome (involved in pre-mRNA splicing). Its 5' end forms complementary base pairs with the 5' splice junction, thus defining the 5' donor site of an intron. Lineage: Eukaryota; Metazoa; Chordata; Aves; Pelecaniformes; Pelecanidae. The record is from Rfam by way of RNAcentral.